Molecule: unclassified non-coding RNA, 4983 nt
Filed under: Leishmania donovani
Lineage: Eukaryota; Euglenozoa; Kinetoplastea; Trypanosomatida; Trypanosomatidae
Description: gene:LdHU3.30.0490(CDS-product:kinesin_putative)
Source: RNAcentral
CUAGUAGCGCGAGCUGCACAGACGCUUGAUUCUCCCAGUGGACUACUAACCGCCAAGAAGCAUACAGGGUUGACACACGCUAGACAUUGCUCCUCCUCUUCAUUCGUUCCCGCCGUGCGCACAACCCGCGUGCCUACUCCAGCCCUCCCCCCCUCCCCUCCCCUCACCAGCGCUUUGCUGAGCGGCCUCUCAACACCCCCGCCUCGCCAUCCUCUCCUCUCGGGUCCUUCUCUCAUUGCUGUCUCUUGCGUUUUUCACCCAGGGCUCCCUCCCCCCUCCCCUCUUCCGCUCCCCGUCGUACCAGACGCGUGUGUCUGCGCCUGCGCUCUCUCGCUUUGCUUGUCGUCUCCCUUCAUCGGCAUGUCACGCACGCAGACAAGCAGCAAGUCGGCGCCGAAGACCAUCGCGGUUUACUGCCGCGUGCGGCCGCCUGUGCCGAAUGAGAAAGGGCACACCUUCCAAAACAUCAGCUACGAUGACAGAGACGCCCGCGCCAUCACCGUGAACCGCAAGUCCGGCGCGAAAUCAUUCGAAAAGAAGUACCUAUUCAACCGCGUCUUCAGGCCAAAUGUGACGCAGAAGGAUGUGUACGAGAACUUUGCCAGGAAUGCCGUCGACGCUGCCUUCGAUGGCCAGCACGGCGUCCUCUUCGUGUACGGCCAGACCGGCUCUGGCAAGACAUUUACGAUAAGCAACGAUGAUCCGAAUAACGAGGGUGUGCUGCAGCAGUCCAUGAGGGAGAUUUGGAACAAGAUCGCCAGCGACACGGCCAAUGACUAUUCGUGCAGCGUCAGCUACGUGCAGCUCUACAACGAAAUCCUCACCGACUUGCUGGAUGAUAAGAAGAGUAAGGUCCGCAUCCAGAUGGGCUCGGAGGGCCGUGGCGACGUCGUGAUGGUGUCCGACAGCACCGGACUGGCAGUUGAGCGGGAGGUAAAGGACUACAAGAGCACCAUGGCCUACUUCAAAGCGGGCCUAGCGCGGAAGGAGAUGGCGAGCACGUCCAUGAACAACACAAGCUCGCGCUCCCACACUAUCUUCACACUUAACAUCGUCAAGGCGAAGAAGGUCGGCGCCGUGACCGUCGGCGCUGAAACGGAGGGUCCGACGGUUGCACUGGAGGGCCGCCUGGUGCUGUGCGAUCUUGCCGGUAGCGAGCGUGUGAGCAAGACACAUGCGGAGGGCAAGACGCUCGACGAAGCCACGCACAUUAACCGCAGUCUCCUAACCCUUGGUAAGGUGGUGACUGCGCUAACCGAUAACGCCCAGCACGCACCCUUCCGUGAGUCGAAGCUGACCCGCAUUCUCCAGUACUCGCUGAUGGGUAACGGCAACACCUCCAUCAUCGUCAACAUCAGCCCCUCCGAUGAAAACACGGAGGAGAGCUUGAGCGCCAUCUUGUUUGGACAGCGCGCCAGCCAAAUCAAGCAGGAUGCGAAGAGACACGAGGUGCUGGAUUACAAGGCGCUGUACCUGCAGCUCAUGGCAGACCUGGACAACAAAAACGACAAGACGCUGGAGGAAGCACUGGAAGAGGAGCGUGGCGUCUACGAGGAACGCAUUUCCGCCCUCGACGAGGAGAUGAAGUUGCUCAGCGAUGAGAACGCGAUGCUGCGCAACGAGAACAAGCAGCUGCGCCAGUACGUGCCGGCUGAUCGACUGAAGCUGAUUGAUGAGACACCAUCCAGUGGAGUGCCUGGUGCCAAUGGUGAAGUUGCCAGCGGAGGUUGGGCCAAGGCCAACCAGGAUUUGCGGGAGUUAGUGAAGCAACGCGAUGAAAAGCUGAAAGUCAUCAGUGAUGAGCGGGUGCGCCUCGCGCUUGUGGUGGCCGAGGAGAAGCGCAAGUGCUUCCAGCUCGCACAGAAGAUGCGCUCAUUCGCCAUGCGCUACAAGAUGGAGCGCGAGCAGUCGACGCAGCGCCAGGAGGAGCUGUGCGCCGAGCUGGCGGCCCUUAAGGGCACCGAUUACCUCAGCGCCGUCGGCAACUUCGACGCCACGGCGAGCCCAGGCAGCCCAGGCAGCCCGCACUAUCCUCGUGAAGGCGAAGAAUUCAACGACGCUGAAAGCGCUCAGGCGCAGAUCCGCGCGUUGCGGGCGGAGCGUACGGAGCUCAUGGUGUACCAGGCAAAGGCGGCCAAUGCGAUUCGCAUGCUCGUGAAGGAACGUGACGCUGCGCAGCGCAAGGUAGCGUAAUUGUGCGGGCACUGGUACAUGCCGGCCUACCGCUGCGUACCAGCGGCAAAGUGCGAAUGCCAUCAUUAUGUGCGAUAGACUGGGCAGUAGGGAGGGGAGGGGUUAGCCCAGCAUAGAGGAAGAGUGAGAGGGCGGCGCGUGGAAAAGUCGAACAAGGGGGGGGGGAGGCGGUUAAGGGGGGCUGUUUCGGUCGCCGUGGCCUUUCUUCCUCCCUCUUCACGCAGGCCCCUCACGUCGUCUCCUCCGUCGCCAUUGUCGGUAUCUGUCUCUCGCUUCUUCAUCUUUCGCUGCCGUUGCCGCUCUUGUGUCCCGCUGUUCUGCUCGAGAGUGCUCACGUGUCGGCUGGGCUGCCCUCUUUGUUGUCCGAGUAGCUGCCGCGUUUUGCUAUGCCACCUCGCUCAACCGCUCCACCCGCCCAUUCGCUAACGAGCCGAUGCGCACGCGCGCGGGCUCUCUUGUCUGCGUUGUGGCGGCGCUGCCGUGUUUAAGCGCCGCCCUAUAUCAGAAGGCGCCCGUAGUAGUGAGUACGAGAGUAAUAUAUCUGCGUGCGUGUGCCUUUUAUUGUUGCCUCAACCAAGAACAUCUGCGAGUCAUGUCGUGGUGAUGGUGGUGAAGGCGGACCUCGCGUGCGGUGUCCCUCUUCGACGGGGCCGUCCCCCGCACACAGCCACGCCCUCGUCUCCCUCCAUAACACACUUUUGUUGUUUUGCUCUCCCUCCCUGCGCCUUUCUUCCCUUCCCCCGGCUGUCCUCACUACAUCCUCGAGCACGAGUGGCUGCGUGCGCAUGCGUGUGUGUGUACGUGUCUGCCGUCAUCGACUUCGCUUGUGGGCAUGUCUCUCUCUCUCUCUGCGUCUGUGCGUGUGACGUGGCCCGACGAUGACACACACAUACACACAUGCAUGCGUGGCGCCCGCUCGCGUUAUGUGCUGCCUGCUGUCUUGUGCCCUUUUUUUUUCAUUGCCGCUUUCGUUGACGCUUCUAUUUUCGAUUGCUCGAUCUGUGCCUCUAUGCUUUUCUUUUAACGAUGGCGUCUCUCUCUCUCUCUUUCGCUCCCCCUGUCCGUGCGUGCUUGCUGAAGUUCCGUAAAUAUUUGUGUGUGCUGCGUGCAUGCCCAUCCGCUGGGCUUUGCUCUCGUGCCCACCAAGGACGUUGCGUGCACACACACACACACACACCACCACCACCACCACCACCGCUCCCUCUCCUUUCCUUCUCCUGCUUUUUGCUGUUGUUGCUUGCCUGUUUGAGCGUGGGUGUGCGCGCGACUUGUUGGGAGAGACACCGCCACACGCCUUCUUCAUUUCUGUGUAUAUAUAUAUAUAUGCAACUCCCCUUUUCUUCUUUGGUGGUGGUGGUGGUGGUGGCGCUCAAUGCUGAGUUCUGCCGUCCGCCUCCCUAGCCCUUUUCUCUAUCUCUAUUUCUUUAUCUCCCGUUCAAUGACUACAAACUCAUGCUUCUCUCUCCCCCUCCCUCCCUCCAUCACUCUCUCGAUCUGUUCUAUCUUCUUCGCUUAUGAUCUUUUAUUCUGUGUGUGCUGUCUGCGCCCGUGUCUCUGCGCUCGUGCGCAGCUGUGUGAAAGUUGGCGGUUGCGGUGGCGAUGCUGGACCUCACUCAUCUUUCAUUUUCGCCGUCGUGCGGGUUUCUUUCGGCUUUUCUUCGUGUCUGCUCGUCUUCGUUGUUCGUGUCGUGCGCUCUCUUCGUCGCCGUGAUGGCCGUCGUUGUUUUGUGCAGUGGUGGGUCUUGACUAGGAAAAGUGACGCUGACGUGGAUGAGGGUUAUCGUUGAUGCACUGACUUGUGGCGUUGGUGUCGAUUAAAGCAGCUUUUUUUUUAUCGAAGGAAACGCAAAGGGCUGUAACGCAUAUGUGUCUUGAGUGUGUUGUCUGCUACGCCACUUACGUACGGCACCCUUCUGGCGUUCACUUGUGCGCGAGUCUGCGCGUGUCCUUCUGCGAGGCAACGUGCAUGCGGAUAGGGGUGCAUCAGCGCCACCUGCACACCGCUGCUAUUUCCAGUGGCGUGGCAGCACCGAGUCCGUAGCGCCUGCCGUUUUUUUUUCUUCCUUUUUUCCUCUAUCUUGGGUUUCACGGACGCAGGGGAGAACGCUGCCGCCUCAGUCCUUCCUCCCCUUGGUCUCAGCCACUAGUGAGCGCAGUUGUCAUGGAUCCAGUGCGCCAUGAUGGCCGCCUCUCUGUUUCUCGUACUUCUCGACACAUUGCCUUUCCCCUGGAUGACGGGGGGACACCUCAGCGCGUGGCGUCAGGGGUCAGCGCCUCACUCUCUGCGGGUGACCCAGGCAGACCCUAACCCUUGCCAGACGCCGAACCGCUUCUGGUGGUGACAGGGUCAGGUGCCUGCGGCGUGGGGAGGCCAGAGCGAUGUAUCGCAACUGAUGUCGGCGCUCAGGUCCUGGAUGGCGUGGCGUCGGAGCGACCUGCGACAGUGCACAGGCUUGUGCCAUCCAUGCGUUGUGCAGAGUGUCUGCGUGACUCAGGCGUGUAUCUCACCCCCGGCCCUCGCAAAUGCUUACUGGUGUGGGGAUCCUGCGCCACCCUAAGAGAGAUGCCCCACGUGGCAACCGGCUCGACGGGGGGGGCGGCUGCGAGGCGGAGGUCGGGCCGAGCUCGACGCAGAGGCCGUACUCCGAUGACUGAGUCGGCGCAUUGCUGUACCGCGCGUGUCCACGGCUGCGUCGCAGCACGCGAUGUGGCCUGUGGCAGGCCGUAUAGAGUGGUGCUCUACUCCCUGCUGUACGGCAGAGAAUGGGCUCGCUGAAACGAACACAACAG